Molecule: ribosomal RNA, 464 nt
Filed under: uncultured bacterium
Lineage: Bacteria
Description: partial 16S ribosomal RNA
Rfam family: Bacterial small subunit ribosomal RNA
Source: RNAcentral
CUACGGGUGGCAGCAGUGGGGAAUAUUGCACAAUGAGCGAAAGCUUGAUGCAGCCAUACCGCGUGUGUGAAGAAGGCCCGAGGGUUGUGAAGCACUUUCAAUUGUGAGGAAGGUUCAGUAGUUAAUACCUGCUGUUCUUGACGUUAACUUUAGAAGAAGCACCGGCUAACUCUGUGCCAGCAGCCGCGGUAAUACAGAGGGUGCAAGCGUUAUUCGGAAUUACUGGGCGUAAAGCGCGCGUAGGCGGACUAUUAAGUCAGUUGUGAAAGCGCUGGGCUCAACCUGGGAACUGCAUCUGAUACUGGUAGUCUAGAGUUUAAGAGAGGGGAGUGGAAUUCCAGGUGUAGCAGUGAAAUGCGUAGAUAUCUGGAGGAACAUCAGUGGCGAAGGCGACUUCCUGGCUUAAAACUGACGCUGAGGUGCGAAAGCGUGGGUAGCGAACGGGAUUAGAUACCCCUGUAGUC